Triticum aestivum (bread wheat) is the source of this 135-nucleotide non-coding RNA. Lineage: Eukaryota; Viridiplantae; Streptophyta; Magnoliopsida; Poales; Poaceae. The record is from Rfam.
CAACUACUCCCUCUGUCCCAAAUUUCUUGGCUUAGAUUUUUCUAGAUACGGAUGUAUCUAAUACUAAAAUGUGACUUGAUACAUCUGUAUCUAGACAAAUCUAAGACAAGAAUUUUGGGACGAAUGGAGUAAUUU